GACGAACGCUGGCGGCGUGCUUAACACAUGCAAGUCGAACGGACAGGCCAUGCUUUUGUGGGGUGCUCGAGUGGCGAACGGGUGAGUAACACGUGAGUAACAUGCCCUUGACUUUGGGAUAACUUCAGGAAACUGGGGCUAAUACAGGAUAGGAGCUCCUGCUGCAUGGUGGGGGUUGGAAAGUUUCGGCGGUUGGGGCUGGACUCGCGGCUUAUCAGCUUGUUGGUCGGGUAGUGGCUUACAAAGUCUUAGACGGGUAGCCGGCCUUGGAGGGGGACCGGGCACAAUGGGACUGAGGUACGGCGCAGACGCCUACGGGAGGCAGCAGUGGAGAAUAUUGCAGAGUGGGCGGAAGCCAGAUGCAGCAACGUCGCGUGCGGGAAGACGGCCUUCGAGUUGUAAACCGCUUUCGCCGUUGACGAAGCGUGAGUGACGGUAAUGGGUAAAGAAGCACCGGCUAACUACGUG
This 468-nucleotide ribosomal RNA is filed under the name uncultured bacterium. Its description in RNAcentral is "partial 16S ribosomal RNA". It matches the Rfam family "Bacterial small subunit ribosomal RNA", at positions 28 to 507 of the family's 1533-position model. The record is from RNAcentral.